UAAUAUUCCUGUACUUGGUGUUACUGCGAAGGGGGGACGGAGAAGGCUAUGUUGGCCGGGCGACGGUUGUCCCGGUUUAAGCGUGUAGGCUGGUUUUCCAGGCAAAUCCGGAAAAUCAAGGCUGAGGCGUGAUGACGAGGCACUACGGUGCUGAAGCAACAAAUGCCCUGCUUCCAGGAAAAGCCUCUAAGCAUCAGGUAACAUCAAAUCGUACCCCAAACCGACACAGGUGGUCAGGUAGAGAAUACCAAGGCGCUUGAGAGAACUCGGGUGAAGGAACUAGGCAAAAUGGUGCCGUAACUUCGGGAGAAGGCACGCUGAUAUGUAGGUGAAGUCCCUUGCGGAUGGAGCUGAAAUCAGUCGAAGAUACCAGCUGGCUGCAACUGUUUAUUAAAAACACAGCACUGUGCAAACACGAAAGUGGACGUAUACGGUGUGACGCCUGCCCGGUGCCGGAAGGUUAAUUGAUGGGGUCAGCGCAAGCGAAGCUCUUGAUCGAAGCCCCGGUAAACGGCGGCCGUAACUAUAACGGUCCUAAGGUAGCGAAAUUCCUUGUCGGGUAAGUUCCGACCUGCACGAAUGGCGUAAUGAUGGCCAGGCUGUCUCCACCCGAGACUCAGUGAAAUUGAACUCGCUGUGAAGAUGCAGUGUACCCGCGGCAAGACGGAAAGACCCCGUGAACCUUUACUAUAGCUUGACACUGAACAUUGAGCCUUGAUGUGUAGGAUAGGUGGGAGGCUUUGAAGUGUGGACGCCAGUCUGCAUGGAGCCGGCCUUGAAAUACCACCCUUUAAUGUUUGAUGUUCUAACGUGGACCCGUGAUCCGGGUUGCGGACAGUGUCUGGUGGGUAGUUUGACUGGGGCGGUCUCCUCCUAAAGAGUAACGGAGGAGCACGAAGGUUGGCUAAUCCUGGUCGGACAUCAGGAGGUUAGUGCAAUGGCAUAAGCCAGCUUGACUGCGAGCGUGACGGCGCGAGCAGGUGCGAAAGCAGGUCAUAGUGAUCCGGUGGUUCUGAAUGGAAGGGCCAUCGCUCAACGGAUAAAAGGUACUCCGGGGAUAACAGGCUGAUACCGCCCAAGAGUUCAUAUCGACGGCGGUGUUUGGCACCUCGAUGUCGGCUCAUCACAUCCUGGGGCUGAAGUAGGUCCCAAGGGUAUGGCUGUUCGCCAUUUAAAGUGGUACGCGAGCUGGGUUUAGAACGUCGUGAGACAGUUCGGUCCCUAUCUGCCGUGGGCGCUGGAGAACUGAGGGGGGCUGCUCCUAGUACGAGAGGACCGGAGUGGACGCAUCACUGGUGUUCGGGUUGUCAUGCCAAUGGCACUGCCCGGUAGCUAAAUGCGGAAGAGAUAAGUGCUGAAAGCAUCUAAGCACGAAACUUGCCCCGAGAUGAGUUCUCCCUGACCCUUUAAGGGUCCUGAAGGAACGUUGAAGACGACGACGUUGAUAGGCCGGGUGUGUAAGCGCAGCGAUGCGUUGAGCUAACCGGUACUAAUGAACCGUGAGG
RNAcentral lists this ribosomal RNA (1505 nucleotides) under Escherichia coli. RNAcentral's name for it is "partial 23S ribosomal RNA". It matches the Rfam family "Bacterial large subunit ribosomal RNA", at positions 1431 to 2916 of the family's 2925-position model. Lineage: Bacteria; Pseudomonadati; Pseudomonadota; Gammaproteobacteria; Enterobacterales; Enterobacteriaceae. RNAcentral also lists the same sequence under 1 other name. The record is from RNAcentral.